Molecule: non-coding RNA, 30 nt
Filed under: Cricetulus griseus (Chinese hamster)
Lineage: Eukaryota; Metazoa; Chordata; Mammalia; Rodentia; Cricetidae
Source: RNAcentral
GUUCAUGCUGUUAGCACAAAAGUUCUGAGU